CUUCCUCUGGCUCUCUUCUCCUGCCCCAAACAUCUCACGCCGCCGCCGCCGCCGCCGCCGAGGCUUAGGGUUUGUGGCCGGAGAUCCCUCGGAUUCGAUUCCAUUCGAGUCGAGUCGAAUCGAAGAGAAGAGAAUCGAUAGAGAUGGACGCGCAGCGUGCCCUGCUUGACGCGCUGAUGGGUUCGUCGCGGGACCUGACGGAGGAGGAGAAGAAGGAGCACCGGGAGGUGGCGUGGGACGACCCCGACGUGUGCGCCCCCUACAUGGCCCGCUUCUGCCCCCACGACCUCUUCAUCAACACCAAGAGCAACCUCGGAGUAUGCCCAAAGAUCCACGACCCGGCGCUCAAGCAAAGCUUCGAGUCCUCCCCCCGCUACGCCGCCGCCCUCCCCAAAUUCGAGGCCGACCUCGCCCACCGCUGCGAGAGGCUGGUCCAGGACCUUGAUAAGAAGAUCAGGCGCGGCCGCGACAGGCUGGCCCAGGACGUCGUGGAGGUGCCGCCCCCCGCCGCCCACGCCGAAAAGGUCGAGCAGCUCGCCAUUCUCGAAGAGAAGAUCAAGAAGCUGCUCGAGCAGAUUGAGCAGCUCGGCGACACCGGCAAGAUCGACGAGGCCACCGCGCUCAUGAGGAAGGUGGACAUUCUCAACCUCGAGAAGUCGGCUCUGACCCACCAGAUUGAGACCAAGCUCUCCAUGGUCCCGCAAGAGAAGAAGAUGGAGCUCUGCGAGCAGUGCGGCUCCUUUCUCGUCACCAACGACGUCCUUGAGAGGACGCAGUCCCAUGUCACCGGCAAACAGCACAUUGGUUAUGGUCUGGUCAGGGAAUUUCUCGCCGAAUACAAGGCUGCGAAAGAAGCGGAGAAGCUUGCAAGGGAGAAGGAAGCAGAGGAGCGUCUGAACCGGGAGAGAGGCCACCAUAACAGAGGCCACCGUGACGACUAUAGGGAGAGAUCUAGGGAGCAUGACCGUGACCGCUACUAUGAGCGAAGCCGUGAAAGAGAGAGGCCCUAUGAGCACGGAGGUAGAGGGUCAGACUAUAGAGGCGGUUCCUAUAACAGCCGCAGGGAUUCUGAAAGGGCGAGGCCCAGAGAUAGGAACGGUGGUGAUUUUUCAAGAAGAGGAGACCCGGGGAGGGUGAGGAGCAGGUCCCGGUCUCCGGGGAGGCAUGGUUAUUAAUCAUUUCAAGUUAUGAGACUCGUGAGGUAGACCAUUAUGCUCCUUUGCUUAUUCAUUCAGUCGCAAUGUCUGAGUGCUGUCAUGAUUAAAUUUAAACCUUACUCUGCUCUAGCAGCUUUUUGUUGAAACCAUACCUAUGGUCUUCCUUUUAUUAUAGAGAGGAUAAAAAACAGAGGAAGGUACCAUCUGUUCUUGGCAGUAUUUCUGUGUUUAUUACAUCUUACGUGCACUCUGAGAUUGUGUUUCCCAGUCUAGGAACUGAAAAAAUGUUGUUUGAUAUGAUUGAGCUGAAAGCCGUAUGAUGAUACUAUCAUCCUAUCCUAGGCAGGUAUUCCGUAACCUCUGUCUGUCUUACAUGUUAAAAUGAUUGAUUGAUUGAUUGAUGACAUACAAGGUUUGGUUAGGACCUGGAAGAAACACUAGACAGGUAACUUGUAACCUCUGUCUUAUAUACAUGUUAAAAUGAUUGAUGAUAUAUACAAGGUUGGGUUGGGUCGGACCUGGAAGAAACACUAGACAGGUAACUCGUAAUCUCCGUCUUAUACAUGUUAAAAAUGAUUGAUGAUAUAUAUAAGGUUGGGUCGGACCGGACCGGACCUGGAAGAAACAGUAGGAAGGUAACCCGUGAUCUCCGUCUUAUACAUGUUAAAAUGAUUGAUGAUAUAUACAAGGUUGGGUUGGACCGGACCUGGAAGAAACAGUAGGAAGGUAAUCCGUCACCUCUGUCUUACAUGUUAAAAUGGUUGAUGAUACGACCUGGAAGAACAGUAGGAAGGUCUUGCAUGCCAAAUUGAUGACGUAUAGAAGGUUGGGAAAAUUCAGGUAACAUUAUAGUAGAGCGGUUUCUGAAUGCCUAGUCUUGUACUCCCUCCGUUCUAAAUUACUCGUCACAGAAAUGGAUGUAUUUAGAACUAAAAUACAUCUAGAUACAUCCAUACCUGUGACAAGUAAUUCGGAACGGAGGGAGUACAAGAUUUAAUUUGCACUGCCAGUAGAGAUUUUGUGUGUACUGCGCCAGCAUUUCUUGUCGACAGAUUUUAAGAAACGACAUUGACUAGUAUCUGCAGUAGGUGUAUCGUACAAUCGUUAAACACGAGGAUGGCCGACAUUGGGAUUUCUUUCAGUAUAGGAACUUAAGAAUUGUUGUGCGAUAGAGCUGAAAGUCUUGAGAUGAUGAUAGCACUAUCAUAUCGUCCUAGGUAACCCGUAACCUCUGUCUGUCUUGCAUGUUUAAUAAUUGAAAUUGACAACAUACAUGGCUGGUAAGGAGGGGACCUGGAAGAAUUAGGCGCAGGUGAUAUUUUGGCAGAAGAACAAGAGGAUUGGAUCGUCAACUUGGGACUUGUUGGUACAUCAACCUGAUGAAUUCAAGUGUUGUCGACCGGUGCAUGCGACAGAGAUCAAUGCUAGAUUUCAAUUACAGAAUCACCCUUUUGGGCAUCGAGAAUUCUCAUGGUUCAGAGUUGAAUUUGAGCAUGUAAAAUCACCCAGUUGUUUGAGCUUUGAGAAACGUUUUGGAGUAUGUUGAAGUUGUAUUUUUCUCGCAAACGCACCAAGUGACGUGCGAUGUGAUUAUAUAGAAACAUUUUCUGGCGA
Molecule: RNA transcript, 2771 nt
Organism: Triticum aestivum (bread wheat)
Lineage: Eukaryota; Viridiplantae; Streptophyta; Magnoliopsida; Poales; Poaceae
Gene name: luc7-like protein 3
Exons: 6
Source: RefSeq, a predicted model, not a curated record